UACAGAGGGUGCAAGCGUUAUCCGGAUUUACUGGGUUUAAAGGGUGCGUAGGCGGUCUGAUAAGUCAGAGGUGAAAGUUAAUCGCUUAACGAUUAAAUUGCCUUUGAUACUGUCAGACUUGAGUUAAGAUGAGGUUGGCGGAAUGAGACAUGUAGCGGUGAAAUGCUUAGAUAUGUCUUAGAACACCGAUUGCGAAGGCAGCUGACUGGACUUCAACUGACGCUGAGGCACGAAAGCGUGGGGAUCAAACAGG
This 253-nucleotide ribosomal RNA is filed under the name uncultured bacterium. RNAcentral describes it as "partial 16S ribosomal RNA". It matches the Rfam family "Bacterial small subunit ribosomal RNA", at positions 524 to 776 of the family's 1533-position model. The record is from RNAcentral.